AAUUUUGGACAAUGGGGGUAACUCUGAUCCAUCUAUCACGCGUGUAUGAUGAAGGCCGCGUGGUUGUAAUGUACUUUUGACAGAGAAGCAAAGGUACCUCCUCAUACUAGGUACUGCUGACGGUAUCUGCAGAAUCAGCACCGGCUAACUACGUUCCAGCAGCGGCGGUAAUACGUAGUGUGCAAGCGUUAAUCGGAAUUACUGGGCGUAAGGCGUGUGUAGGCGGUUCGGAAAGACACAUGUUAAAUCCCAGGGCUUAACCUUGGAAAUUCGCUUCUAACUGCCGAACUAGAGUAUGUCAGAGGUGGGUAGAAUCCCACGUGUAGCAGUGAAAUGCGUAGAUACGUGGAGGAAUACCGAUGGCGAAGGCAGCCCCCUGGGAUAAUACUGACGCUAAGACACGAAAACGUGGGGAGCAAACAG
This 423-nucleotide ribosomal RNA is filed under the name uncultured bacterium. RNAcentral describes it as "partial 16S ribosomal RNA". It matches the Rfam family "Bacterial small subunit ribosomal RNA", at positions 360 to 775 of the family's 1533-position model. The record is from RNAcentral.